RNAcentral lists this ribosomal RNA (446 nucleotides) under uncultured bacterium. Its description in RNAcentral is "partial 16S ribosomal RNA". It matches the Rfam family "Bacterial small subunit ribosomal RNA", at positions 338 to 795 of the family's 1533-position model. The record is from RNAcentral.
CCUACGGGUGGCAGCAGUCGAGAAUUAUUCACAAUGGGGGAAACCCUGAUGGUGCGACGCCGCGUGGGGGAAUGAAGGUCUUCGAAUUGUAAACCCCUGUCAUGUGGGAGCAAAUUAAAAAGAUAGUACCACAAGAGGAAGAGACGGCAAACUCUGUGCCAGCAGCCGCGGUAAUGCAGAGGUCUCAAGCGUUGUUCGGAAUCACUGGGCGGAAAGGGGGCGUAGGCUGUUUCGUAAGUCGUGUGUGAAAGGCUCGGGCUCAACCCGCGGACUGCACAUGAUACUGCGAGACUCGAGUAAUGGAGGGGGAACCGGAAUUCUCGGUGUAGCAGUGAAAUGCGUAGAUAUCGAGAGGAACACUCGUGGCGAAGGCGGGUUCCUGGACAUUAACUGACGCUGAGGCACGAAGGCCAGGGGAGCGAAAGGGAUUAGAUAACCUUGUAGUC